This 252-nucleotide ribosomal RNA is filed under the name uncultured bacterium. Its description in RNAcentral is "partial 16S ribosomal RNA". It matches the Rfam family "Bacterial small subunit ribosomal RNA", at positions 525 to 776 of the family's 1533-position model. The record is from RNAcentral.
ACGGAGGGAGCUAGCGUUGUUCGGAAUUACUGGGCGUAAAGCGCGCGUAGGCGGUUACUCAAGUCAGAGGUGAAAGCCCGGAGCUCAACUCCGGAACUGCCUUUGAAACUAGGUGACUAGAAUCUUGGAGAGGCGAGUGGAAUUCCGAGUGUAGAGGUGAAAUUCGUAGAUAUUCGGAAGAACACCAGUGGCGAAGGCGACUCGCUGGACAAGUAUUGACGCUGAGGUGCGAAAGCGUGGGGAGCAAACAGG